Labrus bergylta (ballan wrasse) is the source of this 414-nucleotide non-coding RNA. Lineage: Eukaryota; Metazoa; Chordata; Actinopteri; Labriformes; Labridae. The record is from the annotation of a RefSeq genome assembly.
AUGUUUUCUGUAGCUCUGCUGCUGCUGCUGGCAGCUGGAUGUGUGAAGUGUCAGCAGUUGACACAGCCAGCCUCUGUGACUGUGCAGCCAGGUCAGAGUCUGACCAUCACCUGUCAGGUCUCUUAUUCUGUUAGCAGCUACCACACAGCCUGGAUCAGACAGCCUGCAGGGAAAGGACUGGAGUGGAUUGGAAUGAGAUACACUGGAGCUGCUUACUACAAAGAUUCACUGAAGAACCAGUUCAGUAUCGACUUAGACUCUUCCAGAAACAGAGCGACUCUAAACGGACUGAAUAUGCAGCCUGCAGACACUGCAGUGUAUUACUGUGCCAGAGAGCCUGGACCUAUGGAGCUUGUUCAAUUCAGAAUCAGGGAUAUAGUCCUUAACAUACAGACUCAGACCAAGAUGGAGUGA